AGGAUGAACGCUGGCGGCGUGCUUAACACAUGCAAGUCGAACGGUGAAGUGAGGAGCUUGCUCCUUGCGGAUCAGUGGCGAACGGGUGAGUAACACGUGAGUAACCUGCCCUUGACUCUGGGAUAAGCACUGGAAACGGUGUCUAAUACCGGAUACGACCUCCGAAGGCAUCUUCUGGAAGUGGAAAGAAUUUCGGUCAAGGAUGGACUCGCGGCCUAUCAGCUAGUUGGUGAGGUAACGGCCCACCAAGGCGACGACGGGUAGCCGGCCUGAGAGGGUGACCGGCCACACUGGGACUGAGACACGGCCCAGACUCCUACGGGAGGCAGCAGUGGGGAAUAUUGCACAAUGGGCGCAAGCCUGAUGCAGCAACGCCGCGUGAGGGACGACGGCCUUCGGGUUGUAACCUCUUUUAGUAGGGAAGAAGCGAAAGUGACGGUACCUGCAGAAAAGCACCGGCUAACUACGUGCCAGCAGCCGCGGU
This 484-nucleotide ribosomal RNA is filed under the name uncultured bacterium. RNAcentral describes it as "SSU rRNA". It matches the Rfam family "Bacterial small subunit ribosomal RNA", at positions 26 to 521 of the family's 1533-position model. The record is from RNAcentral.